Long non-coding RNA from Stomoxys calcitrans (stable fly), 617 nucleotides. RefSeq lists it as uncharacterized. The record is from RefSeq and is a predicted model, not a curated record. The transcript has 2 exons. Lineage: Eukaryota; Metazoa; Arthropoda; Insecta; Diptera; Muscidae.
UAUAGGUUCAAAUGUCCGAAAGAUAAACUUCUUGUUUUUAAUAAAGUACCAAAAAAUUAAUAAGAUUUGUUUUUUUUGUGUACAAAUAAAAAUUUAAAAAAUUCUCAUUUGAAAGUUCAAAACAGAAUCUAACGCUUUUUCAAAAAUAUCUGGUUUGUAUGCGGAAACAGAAAGGGGAUCAAAAAUGAAAAAGGAACUAAGAAAUUAACUAGUUCCAUUGGAACUAAAACGAUCGAUUACUAAACUGAAGUAAAAUUCGCACCUCUACAUAGAUAUGACAUUUGCGUUAAACUUUUCGCUUUGCUGUUUUAACUGCUGGAAUAUUGAAAGAAUAUUACCGCUGACCAGACCAAUCACAUUUGCAACGAUAGCACCAAAAGAUUCUGCUAGUAGAUUAUAGUAGUAAGCUGCUUCAGUUGAGGGAAUUGUGACGAAAUUCGACUCGGAAAUAACAAUGGAUUUUUAAAAUCAUAAAAAAUCAAAAUAUUUUCGGCAAAGUCAUAUGGUUUGCAGACUGAAAUGUAAAAAAUUGAUGUUUAUGGCAGCAGUGGACAUUUUUUCAAAUAAUAAAAAAAAUAAAUUAAAGUAAUUACCAGCUGUUUAAAACCCACCCUAAA